Molecule: ribosomal RNA, 443 nt
Filed under: uncultured bacterium
Lineage: Bacteria
Description: bacterial SSU rRNA
Rfam family: Bacterial small subunit ribosomal RNA
Source: RNAcentral
ACUCCUACGGGAGGCAGCAGUGGGAAUAUUGCACAAUGGGCGCAAGCCUGAUGCAGCCAUGCCGCGUGUAUGAAGAAGGCCUUCGGGUUGUAAAGUACUUUCAGCAGUGAGGAAGGCGGGUACGUUAAUAGCGUGCUCGUUUGACGUUAGCUGCAGAAGAAGCACCGGCUAACUCCGUGCCAGCAGCCGCGGUAAUACGGAGGGUGCGAGCGUUAAUCGGAAUUACUGGGCGUAAAGCGCACGUAGGCGGAUUGGUAAGUUGGGGGUGAAAUCCCGGGGCUCAACCCGAACUGCCUCCAAAACNCCCAGUCUUGAGGUCGAGAGAGGUGAGUGAAUUCCGAGUGUAGAGGUGAAAUUCGUAGAUAUUCGGAGGAACACCAGUGGCGAAGGCGGCUCACUGGCUCGAUACUGACGCUGAGGUGCGAAAGCGUGGGGAGCAAACA